This is a long non-coding RNA of Orcinus orca (killer whale), 366 nucleotides long. RefSeq lists it as uncharacterized. The transcript has 4 exons. Lineage: Eukaryota; Metazoa; Chordata; Mammalia; Artiodactyla; Delphinidae. The record is from RefSeq and is a predicted model, not a curated record.
GCUGUGGGACAGGAGAAGGACACAGCCGGUCACACAGGGGGAUGACAUCCUUGCAUUGGGAUGGCUGGAAGGUUGCUCCUUCACCUCCCGGGCCCCUUCCCUGGUGCCAUCUCCUGCACUCUCUGGGUAUCAGCUCCUCACACACUCUCCAGAUGAGGAAACAAGGUGACAUGGCCUCUCUGGUGUCUUUCAUAAGAACUGGAUCACAUGAUAACCCCCAAACUACUUGCUGGCAAAGAAGAAUGAGACCGUCAUGACUGGCUUAGAACAAUCAUAGACACCAAGAAUAUUCCAAUUCUUUCCAGAAUCAUUUGUCCUUCAACUCAUCUGCAAGCCUUUUAGUCUAGAUUUCCUCAGCCAUAAACU